Molecule: long non-coding RNA, 155 nt
Organism: Salarias fasciatus (jewelled blenny)
Lineage: Eukaryota; Metazoa; Chordata; Actinopteri; Blenniiformes; Blenniidae
Exons: 3
Source: RefSeq, a predicted model, not a curated record
CCUCCGAACAACGAGGAAAAACAACACUGAGAUUAACAUAAUACUGAAAAAACAAAGAGGGAAUAAACACCCAGUGAAGUAAAGGCAUGCAGAAAUGGAACGGUAGAGAGAGAGGAGGAGGAGGAGGAGGAGGAGGAUGGUUGGUUGGCUCCAGA